AUUUCCCCGGAAUGGAGCAGCGAGCCAGUAACGGCGGUGAAAACCGUUCACUUCUGAACACCACAAUAUUGCAUUGACACCCGGAUUUGCGACACAUUUUAACCUACCAGUUUUUACGUUGGAUUCCCGAGGAAAACGUUCUGGAUUUGUGACAGGUUGUUUCCUGCCAGACCUUAGUGGGCGGUGAGCGUGGCUGGCUAGCUAUACUACACCGAAGAUGGAGCAGCUGUCAGACGAGGAGCUGGACCAUACAGAGGGAGGAGGAGAGGAGGAGGACAGUGAUAAAGAAGAUCAGGAUCUAGACCAGAUGUUUGGAGCCUGGCUGGGAGAGCUGGAUAAACUC
Molecule: long non-coding RNA, 343 nt
Organism: Oncorhynchus masou masou (cherry salmon)
Lineage: Eukaryota; Metazoa; Chordata; Actinopteri; Salmoniformes; Salmonidae
Exons: 3
Source: RefSeq, a predicted model, not a curated record